Molecule: ribosomal RNA, 765 nt
Filed under: uncultured Treponema sp.
Lineage: Bacteria; Pseudomonadati; Spirochaetota; Spirochaetia; Treponematales; Treponemataceae
Description: bacterial SSU rRNA
Rfam family: Bacterial small subunit ribosomal RNA
Source: RNAcentral
AACGAACGCUGGCGGCGCGUCUUAAGCAUGCAAGUCGAACGGCAAGAGAGAAGCUUGCUUCUCUCCUAGAGUGGCGGACUGGUGAGGAACACGUGGGUAAUCUGCCCUUAAGAUGGGGAUAGCUGCUAGAAAUAGCAGGUAAUACCGAAUGCACUCGGCACUUCAUAAGAGGUGUUGAGGAAAGGAAGCUAUGGCUUCGCUUGAGGAUGAGCUUGCGUCCCAUUAGCUAGUUGGUGAGGUAAAGGCCCACCAAGGCGACGAUGGGUAUCCGGCCUGAGAGGGUGAUCGGACACAUUGGGACUGAGAUACGGCCCAAACUCCUACGGGAGGCAGCAGCUAAGAAUAUUCCGCAAUGGACGGAAGUCUGACGGAGCGACGCCGCGUGGAUGAAGAAGGCUGAAAAGUUGUAAAAUCCUUUUGUUGAUGAAGAAUAAGGGUGAGAGGGAAUGCUCAUCUGAUGACGGUAAUCGACGAAUAAGCCCCGGCUAAUUACGUGCCAGCAGCCGCGGUAACACGUAAGGGGCGAGCGUUGUUCGGAAUUAUUGGGCGUAAAGGGCAUGUAGGCGGUUGUGUAAGCCUGGUGUGAAAUCCUGGGGCUUAACCCCAGAAUAGCAUUGGGUACUGCACGACUUGAAUUACGGAAGGGAAACUGGAAUUCCAAGUGUAGGGGUGGAAUCUGUAGAUAUUUGGAAGAACACCGGUGGCGAAGGCGGGUUUCUGGCCGAUAAUUGACGCUGAGAUGCGAAAGUGUGGGGAUCGAACAGG